GACGAACGCUGGCGGCGCGCUAAUACAUGCAAGUCGGGCGGAGUUUCCCGGCGGAAGCCUUCGGGUGGAAGCCGGGGGACUUAGCGGCGGACGGGUGAGUAACACGUAGGCAACCUGCCCAUAAGACCGGGAUAACAUCCGGAAACGGAUGCUAAGACCGGAUAAGCGCCCUUGUCGCAUGACGGGGGCGGGAAACACGGUGAAGAACUGUGGCUUAUGGAUGGGCCUGCGGCGCAUUAGCUAGUUGGUGAGGUAACGGCUCACCAAGGCGACGAUGCGUAGCCGACCUGAGAGGGUGACCGGCCACACUGGGACUGAGACACGGCCCAGACUCCUACGGGAGGCAGCAGUAGGGAAUCUUCCACAAUGGGCGCAAGCCUGAUGGAGCGACGCCGCGUGAGUGAGGAAGGUCUUCGGAUCGUAAAGCUCUGUUGCCAGGGAAGAAUAAGCGGAUGAGUAACUGCAUCCGUGAUGACGGUACCUGAGAAGAAAGCCCCGGCUAACUACGUG
This 510-nucleotide ribosomal RNA is filed under the name uncultured bacterium. RNAcentral's name for it is "bacterial SSU rRNA". It matches the Rfam family "Bacterial small subunit ribosomal RNA", at positions 28 to 507 of the family's 1533-position model. The record is from RNAcentral.